RNAcentral lists this transfer RNA (83 nucleotides) under Sulfurimonas sp. Its description in RNAcentral is "tRNA-Leu". It matches the Rfam family "tRNA". Rfam says of the family: Transfer RNA (tRNA) molecules are approximately 80 nucleotides in length. Their secondary structure includes four short double-helical elements and three loops (D, anti-codon, and T loops). Lineage: Bacteria; Pseudomonadati; Campylobacterota; Epsilonproteobacteria; Campylobacterales; Sulfurimonadaceae. The record is from RNAcentral. RNAcentral also lists the same sequence under 1 other name.
GGCGGUAUGGUGAAAUUGGUAUACACGCCUGAUUCAAAAUCAGGUUCGAGAGAGUGCCGGUUCGACUCCGGCUACCGCUACCA